UCACAAACGCUAACCCCCAGCUUCCACACCCGGAGGAGGUGCUGAUCCUAUAGACCUAAGCAAGAGGCCCAUAAAGCAACAUUGAACAAAAGAAAGAAGCUCCUGGAUGUGUAAUGGCCUGCAGGCACUGGACAGAGAUGGCCCAAGACAGUGGGUCUCAGCCUCGCUGCUCACUAGGCUUACCAGGGGAGCAUUAAGAAACAACAUCAUCAUCAUCAACAACAAAAAACUUAAGUGUUCAGUUUCUACCAUAGAGUAGCUAAAUCGGAGAGGCUCGGAGGGAGCCAGGUGGCAGUAGUUUUUAAUGUCUUGCUAGCGAUUCCAAUGUGCAGAUGUGGACAGGAAACGGCAGCCUAAGCAAUGAAGAGGAACGGAACUGAGUAAAACAGGGCCCGGCAGCCCACCUGGAUGCCAAAAGCACAAUAACCAGGCCGCCCUGCCCACUCUGCAGCUGGCUCUCACGGUGGUUGCCUCCUGCCUUUCAGUCUGACUGGCUCCUUUGAGGUCAUGUUUGGGUUCAGGCUAAAUGCGAUAGUUGGUAGUAGGUCCGCCAAGGUUGGGGACAUCAAGGCACUUAAUGGAGAACUGUUUUGCCCUGCUUCCCCGGCCUCUACCACAGCGCUUCCUCCCCAGCCUGCAUCAUGGACUCCAUCUCCGUUUGUCUUCAUAUACUCUUGUGUUUGGCCAUUGUGUGUCAGGCUGUGCCUCUGUACCCAAGGUCAUGCAGUAGGGUGACUAGAACAUAGCUAGGGAGUGAAAAGUGUCUUGGUAGUGACAGUCGUGAUGCAACAGCUUCCAAAUUUCUCUGUGGAGGGUGGCCCUUCCUGGAUGAAAUCUGGGAGGCUACAGUGUGACUCAGACUCCUGCUGUAAGCCCUCAUCAUUUUCUUUGGCCCUGUGCUGGAUAGGCAGCAAGGAAGCUGCAAGCUGGCUCUGUUUUCUGGUGCUUUCUCCAGAACUUGCUGCUCUGAGAAACCAAAGCUGUGAACAGGCGAAUGCUCUCCCAGGUGUUUGUCAUGGAUGGGCCCGCACCGCCUGGACAGUAGAGAAGCUUUCUCUGCUGGAAGGAGAAGGCAUGAGAACCGGGGAAAGGUGGACAAGGUGGAGGGAGCCUGAGGAGGAAGGGGCAAGGCAGGAGAGACUCCCCAGUUGCUUCUCCAUUUCCCAGAGGGAAAGGGGGAGGGGGCACAUUCAUAGGCAGGAUGGCCUUCUAGCAAGAACCCCAGAAGUCCGUAGAGCCUGCAGAGGAACUGUGGUUUUCUACCCUUGCCUUCAGUCUGUCAAGUGUCAGCUUUCCUGAGGUCCAUCCCCUUCCAGUUAAAACAGGAGAGGUGGUACCAAUACUCCUGGCGCUGGGCGUCUGUGCCACUGUGUCACUUGGCAUGAGACAAGGAGGGAGAAGCGAAGAGGAGAGAUGGCUUUCUGUCCCUGUGGCUUCUCAAAGACUCUACAGGAUGCCGUAGGGGCACAAUGGGAUACGUCAGGAUGGGACUCCGGGCCUCGCCAGGUUUUGGGUUUGGGGUCCUCUCAAUAAACUGUUUAUUUCUUGAACUUAACCCCUCUGCUCCUUCCCCUCUGCCAGGUUACAAGGCGAGUAGGCCCUACAUAGGCCCCAACCACAGUAGCCUUAGCUGGUCACUCACGGAGCACAACGCAGCUCAUCUGCCCUAUAAACCGCUUGGCCGACGAAUCCUCAUUGAGUUCUUUCAUUACCAUGUAAAGUGAAAUACACUCACUCACCUUUACUAUACACAGGCUGUGAGAACAUAAUAAACAAAACCUGAACAAGC
RNAcentral lists this long non-coding RNA (1789 nucleotides) under Mus musculus (house mouse). RNAcentral describes it as "long non-coding RNA chr1:153695876-153697665". Lineage: Eukaryota; Metazoa; Chordata; Mammalia; Rodentia; Muridae. The record is from RNAcentral.